RNAcentral lists this ribosomal RNA (229 nucleotides) under uncultured bacterium. RNAcentral describes it as "partial 16S ribosomal RNA". It matches the Rfam family "Bacterial small subunit ribosomal RNA", at positions 1263 to 1500 of the family's 1533-position model. The record is from RNAcentral.
GAGUGCGAAUCUCGAAAGCCUGUCUCAGUUCGGAUUGGAGGCUGAAACCCGCCUCCAUGAAGUUGGAUUCGCUAGUAAUCGCGCAUCAGCCAUGGCGCGGUGAAUACGUUCCCGGGCCUUGUACACACCGCCCGUCAAGCCAUGGGAGCCGGGGGUGCCUGAAGUUCGUGACCGCAAGGAGCGACCUAGGGCAAAACUGGUGACUGGGGCUAAGUCGUAACAAGGUAAC